GUCUCUACGAAAAAUAAUAUACCGUCUAGCCUGCCCAGUGAAUAACUUAAAUGGCCGCGGUAUCCUGACCGUGCAAAGGUAGCAUAAUAAUUAGUUUUUUAAUUGAAAGCUUGCAUGAAUGGCUGGACAAAGAAAAAUCUGUUUCUACUUUUUUUUUAAAAUUUUACUUUUAGGUGAAAAGGCCUAAAUAAAUUUAAUAGACGAUAAGACCCUAUAAAUCUUUAUAUGAUCUUUUCUUAUGAGUAAUUAUUUGAGUUUAUUUUUUAUAAAAAAAAGAUAUAUUUUGUUGGGGCGACAAGAAUACUAAAACUGUUCCAAUUUUCAAACAAAAAUUUUUGUCUAUAGUAGAUCCUUCACUGAAGAUUAAAAAUUUAAGUUACUUUAGGGAUAACAGCGUAAUUUUUUUUGAGAGUUCAUAUCGACAAAAAAGUUUGCGACCUCGAUGUUGAAUUAAAGUUUCUUUAUAAUGCAGCAGUUAUAAAAGUAAGUCUGUUCGACUUUUAAAACUUU
Molecule: ribosomal RNA, 510 nt
Filed under: Phylladiorhynchus joannotae
Lineage: Eukaryota; Metazoa; Arthropoda; Malacostraca; Decapoda; Galatheidae
Description: partial large subunit ribosomal RNA
Rfam family: Bacterial large subunit ribosomal RNA
Source: RNAcentral